UCCCUAGUAGCUUAAUUAGUAAAGAAUCUGCCUGCAAUGCAGGAGACCCUGGUUCGAUUCCUGGGUCAGGAA
RNAcentral lists this transfer RNA (72 nucleotides) under Bos taurus (domestic cattle). It matches the Rfam family "tRNA". From Rfam's summary of the family: Transfer RNA (tRNA) molecules are approximately 80 nucleotides in length. RNAcentral also lists the same sequence under 4 other names. The record is from Rfam by way of RNAcentral. Lineage: Eukaryota; Metazoa; Chordata; Mammalia; Artiodactyla; Bovidae.